CUACGGGGCGCUCCAGUGGGGAAUAUUGGACAAUGGGGGAAACCCUGAUCCAGCAAUGCCGCGUGGAGGAUGACGCAUUUCGGUGUGUAAACUCCUUUUAUAUGUCAAGAAAAUGACGGUAGCAUAUGAAUAAGCACCGGCUAACUCCGUGCCAGCAGCCGCGGUAAUACGGAGGGUGCAAGCGUUACUCGGAAUCACUGGGCGUAAAGGAGCGUAGGCGGGUUGGAAAGUCAGGUGUGAAAUCCUACAGCUUAACUGUAGAACUGCACUUGAAACUUCUAAUCUAGAGUAUGGGAGGGGGAGAUGGAAUUAGUGGUGUAGGGGUAACAUCCGUAGAUAUCACUAGGAAUACCUAAAGCGAAGGCGAUCUCCUGGAACAUUACUGACGCUAAGGCGUGAAAGCGUGGGGAGCAAACAGGAUUAGAUACCCCUGUAGUC
This 438-nucleotide ribosomal RNA is filed under the name uncultured bacterium. Its description in RNAcentral is "partial 16S ribosomal RNA". It matches the Rfam family "Bacterial small subunit ribosomal RNA", at positions 339 to 795 of the family's 1533-position model. The record is from RNAcentral.